This 465-nucleotide ribosomal RNA is filed under the name Vreelandella stevensii. RNAcentral describes it as "partial 16S ribosomal RNA". It matches the Rfam family "Bacterial small subunit ribosomal RNA", at positions 338 to 795 of the family's 1533-position model. Lineage: Bacteria; Pseudomonadati; Pseudomonadota; Gammaproteobacteria; Oceanospirillales; Halomonadaceae. The record is from RNAcentral.
CCUACGGGGGGCUGCAGUGGGGAAUAUUGGACAAUGGGCGAAAGCCUGAUCCAGCCAUGCCGCGUGUGUGAAGAAGGCCUUCGGGUUGUAAAGCACUUUCAGUGGGGAAGAAAGCCUUGGGGCUAAUACCCUCGAGGAAGGACAUCACCCACAGAAGAAGCACCGGCUAACUCCGGGCCAGCAGCCGCGGUAAUACGGAGGGUGCGAGCGUUAAUCGGAAUUACUGGGCGUAAAGCGCGCGUAGGCGGUCUGAUAAGCCGGUUGUGAAAGCCCCGGGCUCAACCUGGGAACGGCAUCCGGAACUGUCAGGCUAGAGUGCAGGAGAGGAAGGUAGAAUUCCCGGUGUAGCGGUGAAAUGCGUAGAGAUCGGGAGGAAUACCAGUGGCGAAGGCGGCCUUCUGGACUGACACUGACGCUGAGGUGCGAAAGCGUGGGUAGCAAACAGGAUUAGAUACCCGAGUAGUC